RNAcentral lists this ribosomal RNA (253 nucleotides) under uncultured bacterium. RNAcentral describes it as "partial 16S ribosomal RNA". It matches the Rfam family "Bacterial small subunit ribosomal RNA", at positions 524 to 776 of the family's 1533-position model. The record is from RNAcentral.
UACGGAGGGGGUUAGCGUUGUUCGGAAUUACUGGGCGUAAAGCGCACGUAGGCGGAUCAGAAAGUAUAGGGUGAAAUCCCAAGGCUCAACCUUGGAACUGCCUUAUAAACUCCUGGUCUUGAGUUCGAGAGAGGUGAGUGGAAUUCCAAGUGUAGAGGUGAAAUUCGUAGAUAUUUGGAGGAACACCAGUGGCGAAGGCGGCUCACUGGCUCGAUACUGACGCUGAGGUGCGAAAGUGUGGGGAGCAAACAGG